This 440-nucleotide ribosomal RNA is filed under the name uncultured bacterium. RNAcentral describes it as "partial 16S ribosomal RNA". It matches the Rfam family "Bacterial small subunit ribosomal RNA", at positions 338 to 795 of the family's 1533-position model. The record is from RNAcentral.
CCUACGUGAUGCAGCAGUGGGGGAUAUUUCACAAUGGGCGCAAGCCUGAUGCAGCGACACCGCGUGAGCGAAGAAGUAUUUCGGUAUGUAAAGCUCUAUCAGCAGGGAAGAAAAUGACGGUACCUGACUAAGAAGCUCCGGCUCAAUACGUGCCAGCAGCCGCGGUAAUACGUAUGGAGCAAGCGUUCUCCGGAUUUACUGGUGGUAAAGGGAGCGUAGGCGGCCCUGUAAGUCUGAUGUUAAAAUUUGGGGCUCAACACCAAACGUGCAUUGGCAACUGCAGGGCGUGAGGGCCGGAGAGGCAGGCGGAAUUCCUAGUGUAGCGGGGAAAUGCGGAGAUAUGAGGAGGAACACCAGGGGCGAAGGCGGCCUGCUGGACGGUAACUGACGCUGAGGCUCGAAAGCGUGGGGAGCAAACAGGAUUAGAUACCCUGGUAGUC